Gallus gallus (chicken) is the source of this 5882-nucleotide long non-coding RNA. RefSeq lists it as uncharacterized. The record is from RefSeq and is a predicted model, not a curated record. Lineage: Eukaryota; Metazoa; Chordata; Aves; Galliformes; Phasianidae. The transcript is spliced from 3 exons.
UGCUAGUGUCUGUGGGUUAGGGUGUGAGGGGUGAGAGAGGCUGUACCAAGCUCUCUACAGUAUCAGCUUCAGGCGCAGUCUGUCAGGAAGGGUUUCACUGUCCUACUGUAUGUAAAUGGACAAACAAAGCAGUAGGAAUCAGGCAGGGAUGAACGGAGAAUCUCUGGCCUUCACCUGGACUCCUGAACCUUCCCAGCUCAAGCCUUUGUCCCAGAGGCUCAGCAGAACCCUGACACUUCACAGUGCUGCGGCCCUUCUCUUGGUAUCGGUAUCAUGAAAGAUUCAAAUGGCAUUGUCCACCUCCAAAGCUUUUGUAGAAUGAAUCAGUUUUCCAAUGUGUCUGCCUUGACACACAUUCCCUGACCACUUGGAGGUCACAAAUUUAAUUAAACCUCUGUGAAUAGUAGCAGACCUCACAGAAAUAAAGGCCUUAAUCCAAUCAAGCCACAUUUGUACUCCCUGUAUUGCAUCAAGCACGGUCAAAGCAGAAGGGACAGAGCGUGGUGAGCUAGCAGGGCCCCAAGAAGUUCCCCCAUACACAGCCAGUUACGGGUGAUAAUGUGAUUGUGACACUCGCAGACAAUGUGAGCAAUUUCUCAAACUGGAAGUCCAAGACUUCGUAUUGCCGUGCCCAGCUAGUACAAGAAACAUGGGAAAGAUCACAGCUAGUUCUUGGAGUAAAAUGGCUAAGGUUUUCAGGAGAGCUAUCAUUUCUCAGGUGGAGACAAACUUUAGCAGCGGCUGGUACAAAUCUCUCACCAAAGUCACAGGUUUGCUUUGUAGUCAUCAGUUUUGAGGGAACCUUGCCACCUCUUCCUUUCUUUUUCUGUAUAAAAAAAAAGAAAGAAGAAAAAAAGAAAAAAAAAAAAAAAAAAAAAGGAAGGCAGAAGCAGCCUGGUGCCCUAGGAAGUGCUUUUAAUCAACCUGUGCAAUACCAAUUAAUUUUGCAUAACACGCCUCAUUCCACCCCGGAGGAGGCAAUGCUUGAUGUGUGGGCCAGGUGAUUCUCUGGCAAUCGGAGGAUCUGGCUAAGUUUUUUUCUGAAGCUGCUUGGAAAGUUUACUUAAGGUUCUGGGAGGAGGAAAUGUAAUGAUGUCUUCACAAAGCUGGGCAUCUUCAGCCUACGCGUGGAUCGAUGCUUGUGGAGUCUUGAAAUUUCAGCAAGGAAUGGGCAUUUUCUUUGUGAAAGGACCCACAGCAUUCACUCCAAGUAUAGAAUUCCUACCAACUCAGUACAGUAAAUAUUUCACCGGCCAGAUUAAAGACGAUGCAGUCUGUAAGUAAAAUUGUAAAGUGCUCUGGGGCAUUUUCUGAGUGAGAGGCGUGUUACUAAUUGCCAGAAUAUUAGUAAAUUAGGCCUGAACUUAAGUAUUUGUAAAAAGCAAAGCUCUCUAACGAGAGCAAGACAGGCACACAGACGUGGGAGAUGGCUGCUGAUGGCAGGUUCUGGUUAGGAGAAAAGGUGCCAAAGUGUGUAGCAAGGUGAUGUUAAAGGAGCUUAAUGUGUGAGACCUCAAGGGAAGGUGGGCACGGACUUCUAUGUGCUGCAGAAAAGACUCCAUCAAUCCUGUUUAGAAACAGGACCAGAAAAUGGAGUGGGAAUUGUUAUUACUGCUGUGUUACUGAGGCUGCGAUAGCAAAUAGCAAGCAUGCUGAUGUGCAUGCUGUAAGGGGAGUAAAAGCACUGGUGCCAAAAUGCUCGUCAUGAAAAAGCAGUAGGGACACUGGAGGGCAAGCACAACUUCUGCUUUGUGUAUUUGUGGGUAAAACUGCAGUUCUGCUCCACCUUUCCUUGUGCUGCUGGAGGAGGGGGAGCACACGACGAUUCCUUUCAUUGGAAUCAACUCGGCUUGAAGAACGGGGCUUUAAAAAAGGAGAGAGUGGGCGAGGGAGCGAGCCGCGGUGUUUCACAAACCGUUUUGCUGCGUGUUGAGCAGCCAGCGAUGGGCUGCAGCGUGUGAGAGGCAGCUCCCUCCAGAUCCUAAUCCAGGGGUCUGCCAGAGAGGAGGAUCCUGCCUCGGCCAGAUCGAGCACACGGCGAAAAGCGCUUCCUACUCAUCUGGUGCACGUGACGGUGCUUCGCUGUCUAUAUCUGUCCCCAUGACGUGAGCAGCACACUCCCCUGCAAACCACCUGCAGAUCACUCUGGAGCCGAAAAGCCCAGUCGUAGAGACUGCAAAGAAAAAUGAAAAGCCCCACAUUCGAAACUCAGGAACAGACGAUGUACGGAAAAUUACUUACAUUGAGCUGUGGGAAUAAUCAAACAAAAGAGCAUAAACUUCAAAGGCAGUACUUCAUAUCCUUAAAAUUGAGGAGGCCGAGGAGAGGAAGAAGUGAGCGCGAGCCAUUAAUUCUGCUCUGUGAUUGCCCAUGCGUGCACAUGACGUGGGUUCCCCAGCUUCCUGCAGCCCAACAUCUGUAACCGCAGCCCGGAUGCUCCCCCCGCCCCCCCCCCCCCCAUGUAAUCUGUGCCCCAUGAAGUCUGCUCGUCCCCUUCUGUAAGCCCUCAUCAUCUCGUGGGCCGACAGCACUUCUUUGAACCGGGGCGAGAGGGAAAGUAAUACAUAAACUUUAAAGGCACUCAUCUACCGCGUGCAAUUUGUGUUUUACACCUCGUGAAUUUUAACUGCUGCGGUUGUAAGUUGCCAUUAACCCCCUGUGCGUUGGCACUCCUGCCCUGACCCUCGGAGGGCGGCAGCAGCAGGGGGCUGCAGCGCGGCUCUCCUCGCAUCCCACAGCACCGGAGCAGGAUUUUCUCCCAUUUCCUAAAAGAGCUCGGUCGCUUGUGAAAGCUCUUCCCUUCACGUGCAUUCGGGCUGAGUAUUAGAACAGCAAAUGCCCUCCAGAUACUGCUAAAUGGCUGCUUAAAAAUGAAACAGCAAACAUAAAAGCACAGAUGACUGCAGCGCAGAGUUAAAAAUCAAAGCACUACUGGCAAGCCUUGCACACCGGACGGCUGCACAGCUGAUCUGCAGCCAUUAUUUAUGCUGCCGUUAAAAAUCGUUAUUGGGGCUCUAAAAAAGCCUCCUCCAAACACGCGGUGAAAUCAGAGGGAUGCUGGCUGCUAUGGCAUGCAGCCUCACACGGGGUGAGCCCUGGGACCUCUGCUCUGUGGUGGCAUUUCAUUACGGGCACUGAGACUAUUAAACCAAUUUCCGAGCGCUCGGGUGUGAGAUGUUUGUGGGAUUUCCCCAGCUGAACAAAUCAGCUUAGAAGUCUGCAAUUCAUUAAGCAAGUUAUCAGGAGAAAGCCGCGUAUGCUCUCCUUUUGCUGUGCCUGCAGUCCCUAACUUCCAGCUCCCUCAGGACAGCGGGUUGCUUCUACCAGUGUGACGCUUGCAGGAGCUGGGUUCAAAGCUUAUUUUCAUCCCUUAUUGAACUGGGUAUUUGGGGGCAGCACCCAGGCAGGCCGAGGGGCAAUGGAAGCAUACCACUUUCCUCCAGGCCUGCUACACCGGCUGCAACCAAAGGGAUCACAACUUCAGCGGCUUUUGAAAUCAGCACGGUCAGUUCAGAGGGCUGUGUGAGGACUGUGGCAUCGUUUUAGGAUGUAUUCUCCCUUCCUCCCUCCCUCCCUUCCUUCCUUCCUCCCUCUCUUCCUUCCUUCCUUCCCUUCUCCCUCCCUCCCUUCCUUCCUUUCCUCCUUACUUUCCUCCUCCCUCCAUCCAGAGGCAGGGGAUGAGCCAGGCCUGCGGGUGCUGGGCUGUGCUUAGUGCUUGGUACACAGUGAGGCCUUUCCUUGCAGGGCAGCCUUCACAUUUGCAAUUUGAAUUUAAUCCCCUGGGCUAAAGAGAGCUCCGCUUGCCUAUUGUUCCUCCAGCUGGCAACAGCUUUAUUUCUUUGAUGCUUUCAAUCCUCGGUCGUUUCCAAGGCGCUGGCAGAGAUGCUUUUAACACAGAGUCUACCCGGGACCGUGACAAGCUGGUCACAGCAUCCCACCCUCUGGGUACUCAGCUCCCCCAGGGCUGUGGGGCUCCCUCCUGCUCGGCUGAGUGUGCCUCUGACAGCGACCUCUGGUCCCCGGGCUGCUCCUCAUGGCUCCCCCAGCUGCAGGACCUUCCUCAGGAGCAGCCCUGAUGCGAACGGCUCGCUCCGCUAAUUGCUAAUUAGUCUUACCACUCUUUCUCUGCAAGAAGUAAGUGGUGCGAUGCUUUCCUAUGGUCUUUGCUGUCUGGCUUCACCUGGGUGCCUCUCUAACCCACCCUUCUCACAUGCCUAAUCGACAAGACUGUGUUCAUCAUUUAUUUCGGGAGAUGUCUAUGUAGUGCCAGCCAAGGAACUGCGUAUUCUGCAAGGUCACUGAAUGCAUGCUUGACUCUGAAGUAGUUUGGACAAUGAUUUGAAGCGGAUUAAUGUCAGUAAGCUCUUAUCUGUGAUAAUGCUUAGCUUUGUAUUUCGUACGUGUACAUCGCGCAGUUCCAUCGCAUGCAUCAGACAUAUUGUGCUGUGUUUGUGAUUUGCUAUCUUUCAAUCUCGGGGGGGGGGGGGGGGGGGGGGAAAUAGGUGAACUAGGUACUUUUCCAGAAAUUGAAUUUGGGAUUGUUCCCUGCUAAUUCAUGUUGUUAAUUAGCUACAGCAGGUAGCCAAUAAAGCAGCAUAAAUGAUUGCAGGUUCCUUAGGAAAUGUGCCAAUACGAACGCAAAUACUGAUUCAGAUGUGGAAUUUUCACAGUGCCUCCCGGUGAAACUCAUUCAUUAAGAAGCAAAAGCUAGGAGACAUAAACGUGAGAUGCUUGCAGCCUGCUGAUGGACGUUUUGCAGUAGGGAGAAUGCUGGAUCACUAAUCAUUCCCUUGGCAUAUCAGCAAUGCACAUGCCACCCAACGGGAAGGGUGGGCAGAUUUCUGCCUGGCUGAGUGCAGCGGUGCUGCUCGCAGCCCCUGAGCCCCAGCAGUGAUUUCGCGACCCGCGGGAAGCGCUGCUAGCUCGUACCUCUGGCCUGCCACUGAAUGGAUUGCCAGCAUGAGGCAUGGAGCCUCUGGGAGCUGUGCGGGAGGUGAAUGCGAAAGCAAGCACAGAAGAAAGUCAGGCUCCUGCAGACUUCAACAGGCACGCUUCCCUUCCCACAGAAGAAAAAGCUGUUACUACGUAGAGGCAACGUUAGAAAAAUCACACAGAGCACAAAGGGAAGUCUACCUCUGGGUUUUUAGGUAAGCUGAGGGGAAUCCCUGCAGCCUUUUCCCCUCCUUUACUUUUUCUUUUCUAAUACUAGUGCCGCAGAGGACUGCGUCUGUGUGCAUGAAAUCAGUGCUGCUCUUUAAAUACUUUUCUCCCCCCAACGCCGCUCCAGUUCCUGGUUCAGUUUUGAAUGGAGAUCUUAAGCGAAAGCAGCAAAACACCAACUGGCUGGAAAAUUGGCCAUGAAGGAGCGCAGUUAUUACGAACCAGAUGCUUCAGCCGAGAGGAAGCAGGAUACGGGAGGCCUUCCAAAAGUGGGUUACCAAGGGGCCUUAGAGACGGACAAGCACCAAAAGCAUCAGUUAUCCACUUGAGCAUUCGCAUGUGUUUGCUUAGGGCUUUGAGUGGCCUGCAACCACAAGACUGGGAUUUGGGUUCCUCUGUGCAGCCUCUGAGAUUUCCACACAUUGCUGAGCUGCUUUUCUCCAGGUCUUGGGAGUGUCAAGACUAGAGAAGCAAGUUGUCACUGGGUGAUCAUUCAUACCAGACACAUCCCCCAGUGUGCUCGAGGGUUUCAUAUGCCUAUGCUGCGUCUGUGGGUAACCGUGGAACUUCACAUACAAGCAGAACCACCUGGCUCCUUUCAAAAGACAAAUAGCACAUCAAAGCAGAUUUUUAUCAUCAUUGUUACACUCUCCGGCCCCCCUGCGAGAGGAUUUUCAUGCUGUCAUUUCAGGGAUGAAAUAAAUUUUUUUGGGAAAGCAAAA